UACGUAGGGUGCGAGCGUUGUCCGGAAUUAUUGGGCGUAAAGGGCUCGUAGGCGGUUUGUCGCGUCGGGAGUGAAAUCCACUGGCUUAACUGGUGGCUUGCUUUCGAUACGGGCAGACUGGAGGUAUGCAGGGGAGAACGGAAUUCCUGGUGUAGCGGUGAAAUGCGCAGAUAUCAGGAGGAACACCAAUGGCGAAGGCAGCACUCUGGGACGUGACUGACGCUGAGACGCGAAAGCGUGGGGAGCAAACAGG
This 253-nucleotide ribosomal RNA is filed under the name uncultured bacterium. RNAcentral describes it as "partial 16S ribosomal RNA". It matches the Rfam family "Bacterial small subunit ribosomal RNA", at positions 524 to 776 of the family's 1533-position model. The record is from RNAcentral.